This 350-nucleotide long non-coding RNA is filed under the name Physcomitrium patens. RNAcentral's name for it is "long non-coding RNA (PPAT_LNC014301)". Lineage: Eukaryota; Viridiplantae; Streptophyta; Bryopsida; Funariales; Funariaceae. The record is from RNAcentral.
GUGCUUAUAAUAUCUAGAAGUAAUUAAAAAUAGUGUUCUAAGCACUUUGUAUUGGGAUUAAGCUUUUACAUUGAAAUCCAAAAUAGUUUAUAUUUAGAUAGUUGAAAUCCACUAGAUUACUUGGAUACUUACGAAACAUCAUUUUAUCUUCUACAACUAGACGCCAUGUGUGUUCUCUAGCUAAAUAGCAUGUAAUACGACAUCGCCACAUAGCCCCUAAUUAGAUAGUAUAUAUGGAGACAAGAAUGAAGCCUUCUUCACUCUUGUCAAAUCCUUUCUUGCUUCCAGUCUAGUUUCAAGGGUCUCUAGUUUUCUUAGCUUUUGGCAAUAGCCAUUCUAGUUUCUUUCUU